CCUACUCCGAAUUUCUUCAGUACCCAGCACAUUGACUGAUUAGUCUCUAUUCACUCAAAAGUUGUUCUUUACCGUAGAAAUUAUUAGCUAAAAAUCAGUAUCGUUCCAAAACUUGCCUUAUUUAUUCCAAGUGUCAUUCCAAUAGUUGCCUUAUCCUACCAGCCAUUGAAAUUCUUAAUGUUCCAGUCAAAGGAGACACGCGAUAUUUUUCCCACGUUUUUACAGCUGUCGUCAAUAAAGUCUGAAGACGUGCAGUUUUGUGACAAAAUAGGAUUACGAUGGAAGAAAGAAUUACUUCAGCUCCAAAAGGCAAAGCAAGAUGCCGUAAAAGUAAUCCUGCUUUAUGGAAGAAAACAAAGGAAAAAUAUAAAAGGCAUGGGCCAAUGGAACUACCACAAUGCAGUCAUAAUGGACCAACGUACAAACGCAGGAAAUUAAGGAUGUUAGGCAUUCAACAGUUCCAUAAGAACUUCUACAGCUCUCCCAAUAAAAUUGAGCAAGACACUUUUAUACUGAAAUAUCUGAGAGCAGAAAAACCUGAAAGAGACGCUCAAAAGAAGGUAGCAGUAGGAAGAGUGUUGCUAUUGAGUAUUUUCUUAAACUUGCUGAUACCGAUACAUUUAAAGUAAAAGUGCGUCAGAAAAAAUUCAUCACUAUUUUACAUGUGAGUAAAGAUAGAAUUCAGAGAACUGCCAGAAAUCACUACCAAACCGGUGAAAUGCCUAAAGAGAAAAGAGGUGGUGCUAGAGACAGGCCACAGUACGAUGCAAAGAGACCAUCUGUAAAGUCUUUUAUUGAACGUUUGAAGUGCUGUGGAAGUCACUAUUGUUGAGGAAAAUCGUUGCAAAGAAAAUAUCUUCCCGGAAACUUUAGCAUUGCAAAGUUACACUGCAUGUAUAAUGCAGAGGUUUGUCAUAUGAGAGUGAAGCGAUGGUUCUUUCACAACAGGUUACAACGUCGGUUUUGGUCCACCUGUAAAAGAUGCAUGUUCUACGUGCAUUGAAUUUAAGGGAAAAAUUGAGCACACGAAGGAUAAGUCGGAAAAGAAUUCGAUGAUUAUUCAGUUUAGCAUUCAUAAUUUAAAAGCUUAAACUUUUUACGCAAAGCUGCAAGAAAAAGGGAUGCUAUGCUAACAAUGUCAUUUGACUGUCAGAAAAAUUUGGUUAAACCUAAAAUACCGAAUCAAAUUGCCUACUACAGUCGUCAGAUAUACACCUAUAAUUUUACAGUUGUGAUGGGCCAUUCACAUACUGAAUGGACAGUACAAAAUGUUUUCACAUAUACAUGGAUGGAACACGAAUACAAAAAGGAAUCAAAUGAGAUACCCUCUGCAAUAUUUGACACUUUCUAAAUGUGAUUUAUCGAACUACUCAAGUUUGCAACUUCGUGCUGAUGGCUGCGGAGGACAGAAUAGAAACUCUACAGUGAUAAUGAUGUGCACCUAUUUUCUGUCAAAAGUGAGCCCCCCUCCCCCAAUGUGAAGCGUAUUGAACUGAUAUUUCCCAUUCCAGGACACUCCUUUCUGCCAACGGACAGAGUAUUUGGACAAAUAGAGGAGGACAUUAGGACCAGGCCAGUAAUUUGCAGCCCAAGAGUAUGAAGAUAUUUUUGCAUCGCAUGCUCAGGUUUCUAAAUUGGGUGUGGAUUGCACAGUGAGAGACUGGAAGAAGGCUGCUGACAAUAUGAUGAAAACACCAAGUAGCUAGCAUUUCAAAUUUUCUGCAGCAAAGCGGCUCUUCUCGUGUAAAACGUUUGAAGGAAACGUGACAGUACAAGGAGAACCGAAUUACAAUGUAGACUGUGGUUCAGGAAGGUCUGUGAUGAAGAAAGGUAAGUUUGAUGAAUAUGGAUGUUACACAAGUUGUGUCCUGAGGAGUGCCCUUGAACCCAGCCAAGAUUAAGGACGUAAAGCAUUUGCUACAAAAACAUUUUGGAUUGGAGUGGAAGGUGAAUAAAGAACUGGCUUUCUAUAAGAAUUAGUUAGCGUCCAAUAUUGGAGAAAGAAAUUACUACCCUGAAGAGACUAUCAAUGAAUAUUGUGAAAUCUUGAGAGGAUUUGACAGACUUAGCUAUUUGAAUUCUGCUCUAUGAAUAAUUAUGUAGAAUCAUUGUUUACUAUGAACUGUGUUUUUAAGUUCUAAUAAAUGAGUAUAAACUGAA
Molecule: long non-coding RNA, 2160 nt
Organism: Schistocerca nitens (vagrant locust)
Lineage: Eukaryota; Metazoa; Arthropoda; Insecta; Orthoptera; Acrididae
Exons: 2
Source: RefSeq, a predicted model, not a curated record